Merluccius polli (Benguela hake) is the source of this 72-nucleotide non-coding RNA. NCBI's taxonomy places the organism in Eukaryota, Metazoa, Chordata, Actinopteri, Gadiformes, Merlucciidae. The record is from the annotation of a GenBank genome assembly.
GCAGGACAGUCUAGCGGUUCGGGUGUUCGACUCCCAGCCGAAAGAUUCUGGGUUCGAUCCCCAGUGUCUGCA